GACGAGGUGGGCGAGAGGUUAAGGCGUUGGACUGCUAAUCCAUUGGGCUCUGCCCGCGUGGGUUCGAAUCCUAUCCUCGUCG
Molecule: transfer RNA, 82 nt
Filed under: Ixodes scapularis (black-legged tick)
Lineage: Eukaryota; Metazoa; Arthropoda; Arachnida; Ixodida; Ixodidae
Description: tRNA-Ser
Rfam family: tRNA
About the family: Transfer RNA (tRNA) molecules are approximately 80 nucleotides in length. Their secondary structure includes four short double-helical elements and three loops (D, anti-codon, and T loops). Further hydrogen bonds mediate the characteristic L-shaped molecular structure. tRNAs have two regions of fundamental functional importance: the anti-codon, which is responsible for specific mRNA codon recognition, and the 3' end, to which the tRNAs corresponding amino acid is attached (by aminoacyl-tRNA synthetases). tRNAs cope with the degeneracy of the genetic code in two manners: having more than one tRNA (with a specific anti-codon) for a particular amino acid; and 'wobble' base-pairing, i.e. permitting non-standard base-pairing at the 3rd anti-codon position.
Source: RNAcentral